UGCAGUCGAACGAUGAUCCCCAGCUUGCUGGGGGGAUUAGUGGCGAACGGGUGAGUAACACGUGAGUAACCUGCCCUUGACUCUGGGAUAAGCGUUGGAAACGACGUCUAAUACCGGAUAUGACUCCUGGCCGCAUGGUCUGGGGGUGGAAAGAUUUUUUGGUCAAGGAUGGACUCGCGGCCUAUCAGGUAGUUGGUGAGGUAAUGGCUCACCAAGCCGACGACGGGUAGCCGGCCUGAGAGGGUGACCGGCCACACUGGGACUGAGACACGGCCCAGACUCCUACGGGAGGCAGCAGUGGGGAAUAUUGCACAAUGGGCGAAAGCCUGAUGCAGCAACGCCGCGUGAGGGACGACGGCCUUCGGGUUGUAAACCUCUUUUAGUAGGGAAGAAGGGAGCUUGCUCUUGACGGUACCUGCAGAAAAAGCACCGGCUAACUACGUGCCAGCAGCCGCGGUAAUACGUAGGGUGCAAGCGUUGUCCGGAAUUAUUGGGCGUAAAGAGCUCGUAGGCGGUUUGUCGCGUCUGCUGUGAAAUCUGGGGGCUCAACCCCCAGCCUGCAGUGGGUACGGGCAGACUAGAGUGCGGUAGGGGAGAUUGGAAUUCCUGGUGUAGCGGUGGAAUGCGCAGAUAUCAGGAGGAACACCGAUGGCGAAGGCAGAUCUCUGGGCCGUAACUGACGCUGAGGAGCGAAAGCAUGGGGAGCGAACAGGAUUAGAUACCCUGGUAGUCCAUGCCGUAAACGUUGGGAACUAGAUGUAGGGGCCAUUCCACGGUUUCUGUGUCGCAGCUAACGCAUUAAGUUCCCCGCCUGGGGAGUACGGCCGCAAGGCUAAAACUCAAAGGAAUUGACG
RNAcentral lists this ribosomal RNA (854 nucleotides) under Frondihabitans sp. 762H6. Its description in RNAcentral is "bacterial SSU rRNA". It matches the Rfam family "Bacterial small subunit ribosomal RNA", at positions 56 to 915 of the family's 1533-position model. Lineage: Bacteria; Bacillati; Actinomycetota; Actinomycetes; Micrococcales; Microbacteriaceae. The record is from RNAcentral.